UAUGGGUGGUGGUGCAUGGCCGUUCUUAGUUGGUGGGUUGCCUUGUCAGGUUGAUUCCGGUAACGAACGAGACCUCAGCCUGCUAAGUUUAGUAGGGCUGGAAAGGCGUCCCUGCCAAAGUGGGGCGCCUAGUCCGGGGGGGGCGAGAGCGGUGGCAAAGUUUCUUUGUUCUUCAUCUGUUCUCCCCCUCCGGGCAACACCCUCAAAUUGCCGGGACCCCCCGCUUGAGGCACGCAGUACCGCCGGCUUGCUGUGAAGCAUGCCGGCACCCAGGCUAACCCCUGGUGGUGUGGUAACAACCUGCGGUGCUAGGGGCAAUCGGCAGCCAAGUCCCACAACAGCUCUUUGUGCUCCGGCAUUUAAAGACUGCUGCGGGAUGAAGUUCACAGACUAGAUGGGGGUGGGUACACUCUGGGUUGGAUCCAAACAUUGUUCCAACCGUGUGCUUAAGAUAUAGUCGGCCCCCACCGAGAGGUGGUGCAUAGGAGGACGCGCGGUUGACCGCGUUGAGAGCCUACGCAUGGUGCCAAAGGGGCUGCAGAUAUAUGCACAGCCCCAAAGGUCCAGGAACAAGCGGCUAAAUAGUCACUCUCGCUUUUUGCGGGUGGCCGACUUCUUAGAGGGACUAUUGUCGAUAGACAAUG
RNAcentral lists this ribosomal RNA (644 nucleotides) under Chlorophyta sp. QUCCCM1. Its description in RNAcentral is "partial 18S ribosomal RNA". The stretch from base 100 to 480 matches the Rfam family "Group I catalytic intron". From Rfam's summary of the family: Group I catalytic introns are large self-splicing ribozymes. They catalyse their own excision from mRNA, tRNA and rRNA precursors in a wide range of organisms. The core secondary structure consists of 9 paired regions (P1-P9). The record is from RNAcentral. Lineage: Eukaryota; Viridiplantae; Chlorophyta.